GUUUAGGGGUUUGACGGCGAAGGGUGGUUUAGUGGAUGAAGGUUGUGUUUGGAAGAUGAAGAUGGAGGCAGAGGCGAAGGAUGAUGAAGUGAGGUUGUUGACGGUGUAGAUGAAGUGUGGACGGAGGGUUUACGGUGAGAGUGGAUCUCGGAGGUUAUAGCGAGUUUGAACGGUGGUUGUGAGCUCGUCGGUGAGGGUUUUGAAGGAG
RNAcentral lists this long non-coding RNA (208 nucleotides) under Lathyrus oleraceus (garden pea). RNAcentral's name for it is "Pisum sativum (pea) long non-coding RNA (PSAT_LNC033836)". Lineage: Eukaryota; Viridiplantae; Streptophyta; Magnoliopsida; Fabales; Fabaceae. The record is from RNAcentral.